This is a long non-coding RNA of Megalops cyprinoides (Indo-Pacific tarpon), 184 nucleotides long. RefSeq lists it as uncharacterized. The transcript is spliced from 3 exons. Lineage: Eukaryota; Metazoa; Chordata; Actinopteri; Elopiformes; Megalopidae. The record is from RefSeq and is a predicted model, not a curated record.
AUAAUUUUUUGGAGAUUCAAAAGACUUAAAUAGAGGAAUCCAUCUUCUGGUAUAUAACACUGCAGGUGUGGAAAUAGCUGGCUUCACGAUGAAGUGUGUGAUACUCAUUCUGGUACUCUCUCUGACUCUCCCUGCAGCAUUGUCUGUUCAGCCUCACCGUCGAAGCUAUUCUGAAAGCGAUGAG